AUAUGUAACACUCAGAAACGUAUCCUUCCCCCCAAACGUGUCCGAUACUCCCAAACGUGUCCACAUCGACGUCACUGAAAUGCAAAACAUGUCUAGUUGUGAAAAGGGCGUCAAAGCGUGUCAUUUGUAUUAUUUAAACGCCUAAACGUGUCCAUUUUUUAAUAAACACCCAAACGUGCCCAAUCCCCCAAACUUGUCCUAUAAUAUAAAGGGAACUAAAAGAUUGUUACACUGAUAUUCCGUAGAAAUAAAACUGUCCUUUUCCGCUCCAAAAAAAUAUAAUUUAAUUCCGAGUUACGAUUAGUGUAGAUUCCUAAAAACCGUAAAGUGUAAAUUCUUAUAACUGUACACAAUUCAUUUAGGCCUAAUCCCAAAUUCCCGGAAUAAUUGAGGUACAAUCCAAGAGUUCUGGCAAAUAUUCUUCCGCAUCUCAUUAUAUAACUUAUCCAAAGUAUGUUGUCGUC
Molecule: long non-coding RNA, 464 nt
Filed under: Mytilus galloprovincialis (Mediterranean mussel)
Lineage: Eukaryota; Metazoa; Mollusca; Bivalvia; Mytilida; Mytilidae
Source: RNAcentral